AACCCCUGGCUAUGGGCAGAGAGACACCUGAUUGGUGGUGGUGCUCUUAUAUCAGUCAGGGGCAGAGCAGACUGGCAGCCCUUUGUUCAUCCUAGCUUGAUGAUCGUGGCUAGAGCUGUUUCAUGCCUAGGGCACAUUU
Molecule: small nucleolar RNA, 139 nt
Filed under: Echinops telfairi (small Madagascar hedgehog)
Lineage: Eukaryota; Metazoa; Chordata; Mammalia; Afrosoricida; Tenrecidae
Description: Small nucleolar RNA SNORA48 (ENSETEG00000025059.1)
Rfam family: Small nucleolar RNA SNORA48
About the family: The snoRNA ACA 48 has been identified to guide pseudouridylation of the residue U3797 in the 28S rRNA subunit. Its host gene EIF4A1 (eukaryotic translation initiation factor 4A1) is shared with U67 and snoRNA mgU6-77
Source: RNAcentral